GGCGAACGGGUGAGUAACACGUGGGCAACCUGCCCAAAAGAGGGGGAUAACACUUGGAAACAGGUGCUAAUACCGCAUAACCAUAGUUACCGCAUGGUAACUAUGUAAAAGGUGGCUAUGCUACCGCUUUUGGAUGGGCCCGCGACGCAUUAGCUAGUUGGUGGGGUAAAGGCUUACCAAGGCAAUGAUGCGUAGCCGAACUGAGAGGUUGAUCGGCCACAUUGGGACUGAGACACGGCCCAAACUCCUACGGAAGGCAGCAG
RNAcentral lists this ribosomal RNA (263 nucleotides) under uncultured bacterium. Its description in RNAcentral is "partial 16S ribosomal RNA". It matches the Rfam family "Bacterial small subunit ribosomal RNA", at positions 97 to 354 of the family's 1533-position model. The record is from RNAcentral.